CAGUCGCCGCGGUAAUACGAAGGGGGCUAGCGUUGUUCGGGAUUACUGGGCGUAAAGCGCACGUAGGCGGAUAUUUAAGUCAGGGGUGAAAUCCCGCAGCUCAACUGCGGAACUGCCUUUGAUACUGGGUAUCUUGAGUAUGGAAGAGGUUAGUGGAAUUGCGAGUGUAGAGGUGAAAUUCGUAGAUAUUCGCAGGAACACCAGUGGCGAAGGCGGCUCACUGGCUCGAUACUGACGCUGAGGUGCGAAAGCGUGGGGAGCAAACAGGAUUAGAUACCCCCGUAGUCCCUGUCUCUUAUAC
This 301-nucleotide ribosomal RNA is filed under the name uncultured bacterium. Its description in RNAcentral is "partial 16S ribosomal RNA". It matches the Rfam family "Bacterial small subunit ribosomal RNA", at positions 509 to 807 of the family's 1533-position model. The record is from RNAcentral.